AGGCUACCCCCGCCACCACCGAGUUGUGCUCACAAACCCACCCCCUCCCGCUUUCGUCUCUGGGAGAUGACGUAAAAACACAGCGUCUCAUUUAGAUUCGGCUUUCGAGGACCCACGCUCUCGUUGUGACUGACAAGCCCGUGCACCAAUCAGGUGCAGCUAUAGCGUCACACCGAGGACUGGGAGCGGGGAAUUGUAGACCUGAACGAGGUUGCAGAAGGUAUUUGGGUUGGUGAUUGGAACUGUGGUCCACUGAGUGUUAGCAUCUGAAGACUGUCUUGGUUCUUAGAUGUUGCUUAUCAGUGAUGCUGCUACUGGUUAUCACUGCACUUUAUCAAAUAGCAUCCCCAUUUCAAUUGAGAAUGAAGAGGUUCUUGGAUAAAGAACUUAUAAAAAUCAGCCUAGAAGAUGGACGUUUGGCAAGCCAUAAUAGACUGCUCCUUUCCCAGGUAUCUCCUGCUUGUUUCCUUUAUCUGUGAAUAGGAAAUGGCUUAAAGGCACCUGUGUGAUGAAGGUCCCAGGGGCAGCUGCCUGACUACUGAAUGCCUGAUUAUGUGUUAACAUGCUUUGUCAGAUAUUGGCAGAAUCUGUUCUCUUCUUUUGCCUUUUCAGCAAGGGUACCAUUGACAGGCUGGCUACCCAUUUAUAGAAAUGUUGUCCAUCAAACUGUGAGGAAGGACAAUAGUGUUUUUCUGUGGCCAGUGACUGUGGGAAACUUUUCUUUGGCUAUUCAGGCAAUUUUUGUAGCUUGCUCUGAAGAGGAGAGACUGAUGAGUGCAAAAAGUACAAUUAAGCAAAGCCAGACUUCAAUUGAAGGCUCUAGUGUAGUCUGCUGUUCUCCUUUUUUUUUUUUAAUUUAGAAGGGGGGAAAAACCCUAUGGGUUUUCAUGUUGCUGUGUGGCAUUCAGCAGGGGGCUAUUACAAUCCUAAAUUUUUUUUCUAGACCACCUAAUUCUAAGUUAAAAUUAAAUGUAAUGAGAGCCACUUGGAGUUCUGAAUAUUUUAAAGCAUAAUUCCCACAGAAGGGAUUCGACCUAAACUGCAGUGAGCAUCAGUUGGCUAAUUAUAGCUGCAUUUUAUAUUACAGCAGGUGUCAGAUGCAGUCAUCUCAAUAAAGUCCACAUAAUACUCGGGAAAUAACAAAGACUUUUCUUUGAAUGUGGGUACUAAUUUCUGCUAGGUGUCAUAUGAGCCUUGAUACUUCUUAUUGGCAUUAACAAGAGCACUGCAGCACUCAGAAAUGCUUUUUGCUUGGGAUGAAUUGAUACUGUAAAGCACUUACCAGUCAGACUUGACAGAUGUCAGUAGUUAAUACUAAUGUUGCAGAGGUCGGAAUAUAAUGCAAAGAGUCUUAUGUAAAUACUCUUAGAUGAUGGGCUGGUUUUGAGAAGGCGCCUGAGCACUGCACCAACUCACUUAAUGAAAGUUAAAUAGAUAGCAGUGGGGUAUCUGCUUUUACUUUGGCUCCUGCUUUAUUGCAAGUCCUCCAGAAGUGAAGGGCAGAUGGUAAGGCAGUAAACUAGGUGAACAAAUACACUGGACUUGGAUAAGGACUUGUUAUGUUCACAGCACUUUCCUUGAGCUUGUGUGGGUGAUUCAAAUUACUAAAGUUAUAGGUCAAAAGCCUGAAGAUAAGAGCUCCUGUGUAUAUCCCACAGAUAAAAAAUAAAUUUAAUUUAGAAAAUAUGUCUGCAACUGAAAAACAAUUAGACAAUGGCGUAGGCAAGACAAAUGUCUCUUUAAAAUCAUGGCAAUUGUUCCACACUACUCCGUACUUUUAGGAGUUCUACGGUUUGUCUAACCUAUUGUAAUCACAUUGGAUCACAGCAAGUGAGAUCAAAACAGAAGACCUAUUAAAAUCUUAUUACAAAAUAUCGAUGAGAUAAGACAAAUGUGAACUUUUUACACACAUGCCAUUCUGGGAUCAACACUAUUUAUUUUAAAUCUAAUUCAGAGGUAACAAAGCAAAGAGAAUUGUCCCUAAUUAUAUCUCCCAAAACAGUUUCGGGUUCUCAUUUUGGCAGGUUACAGUUUAUGUACAUCUCAUAGCAAAUUCUGUAGGGUGCUGUCAGCAAUUAGGCAGAAAUUGCCUUCAGUAAUUUAAUAUUCAUUUAGCAUUGGUUCAAUAAAUGAAUGAACACUGAUAGGAGCAAAGCACUGUUAAGCCCAGAAAUAAAAUCUAAGGUAAAACAGAAGACACAUUGUCCCUAGAGUGCUGACCAUCAGUUCACAAAAACAAUGUCCCUCAUAGCUGUUUUGAAGAUUUCUGUUAAUUUUUGUUCAGAUCAUAUAUGUUCAUGGAUUUUGAUAAGGUCCAGGACAAAAUUGUGAAAUAGUAUGACAAGUUGCAGAGAAAUCACUACAAAGGAGAACAAGUAAUCUGCUAAUGGCAAUAGUUUCCUUAUAAUCCUCAAUAAUGUUCAAGUGUUUUUAAUGCUUAAGCCUCAAUCGUGAAUAAAAAUUUUAUUUCUUAUUUCUUCUUACAUAAAUGUAAUGCUUAUUACAGAAAGUUUAGAAAACAAAUAUAAGAUACAGAAAAGAAAAUAAUCCAUAAUUCUAUAGGGACUCAUAACAUUAUUAAUAUUUUGGUUUCUUUCAUGUUUACUCUUUAUUCUUCAUUUAUAUACAUAUAAAAUGUAUAUGUACCUUCUUUUAAGGUGAUUUAUAUUUAUUUUGAGAGAGAGACUGAGCACAAGUGGGGAAGGGGCAGAUAGAGAGGGAGAGAAAGAGAAUCCCAAACAGGCUACACUGUCAGCACAGAGCCUGAUGAGGUGAUCAGUCUCACUAACGGUGAGAUCAUGGCCUGAGUUGGAAUCAAGAGUUGGACACUCAACCAACUGAGCCACCCAGGUGACCUAUAACUAUCUUUUGAAAUAAACCUUAUGGUAUACUAAGAAUAUCUUUUUAUACUAUUGUGUGUUCUUUCACAAUGCAAUUUUUAUUGAUUACAUAAUAUUCUACAUAAUAUUCUAGUGUAUGGAUGUACUAUACUUUCUUUUUAAAUUUACUAUUGCUGUACAUUUAGAUUAUUUCCAAUCUUUGUUUUAAACUCUAUUUUGUCCAAUAUAGGUAUCGUUACCAUGGCUUUCUUUUCACAUCCAUUUGCAUGAAAAAUGCUUCUCCAUCUGGUCACUUUCAAUCUGCAUGUGUCUUUAGGUCUGAAAUGAAUCUCUUGUAGGCAGCAUAUAGAUAGGUCUUGUUUUUUUAUCCAUUCUAUCAACCUUUGUCUUUUGAUUGGAGCUUUUAGUCCAUUUACAUCCAAAGUAAUUAUUGAUAGGCAUGUAUUUAUUGCCAUUUUGUUACUUGUUUAAUGGUUGUUUUUGUAGUUUUUCUCCAUUCCUUUCUUCUCUUGUUCUCUUCUCUCAUGAUUAGUUGGCUUUUUUAGUGAUACACUUGAAUUCCUUUCUCUUUAUUUUUUGCAUCUCUAUUACUGGUUUUUGAUUCAUGGUUACCAUUAGGUUUGUACAUAAUAUCUUCUGUAUAUAGCAGACUGUAUUAAGGUGAUGGUCACUUAAGUUUGAACCCAUUCUUUACUCCUUUCCUCCCCGUUUUAGGUAUAUGAUAUCAUACUAUACACCCUUUUAUUUUUUGAGUCCCUUGAAUUAUUUUUACAGAUACACUUAUUUUUACUGCUUUUGUAUUUCCUACUUUUCAUACUCUUACUUAUGGUCUUUCCUUUCCACUCAAAUGUCCCUUUAACAUUUCUUAUAGGGCUGGUUUAGUGGUCAUGAAUUCCUUUAACUUUUGUUUGUCUGGGAAACUAUCUCUACUUCUAUUCUGAAUGAUAGCCUUGCUGGAUAUAUACAUCUAUUUAGCGAAUGUUAUUAUGCUUGAUGGUGUUGCUGAGUUCCCUAAGUCUGUUCUCAUUUUCCAUAAUUUUUUUCUCUCAUCUCUCAUCUGUGGCCUUGUGGUAUUCAACUUCUCUGUACCUCAAUUUCCAUGUCUGAAGAGUAGGAAACCUUAUUAUUAGCUAUCAAUUACUAUCACAAUUUACAAUCAUUGAUCUACAUUAGUUGAAUUAAUAAUGCAUAAGAUGUUAAGAAUAUUAUUUUAAUAACUUUUUUUAGUGCCUACUAUGUGCAGGAUACUUGAAGGUGCUAAGAAUUCAGCAGUGAACAAAAGAGAUUUUUUUUAAAAAUCUCUGACCAAAAAUGACAAAAAAAACACAACACCCCAAAACAACACACACACACAAGGGGGAUAAGAAGGGAUGGAGAAUUCAAUGUUAAAUAGGAUAGUGAAAGAAAGCCUUGCUAAAAAGAUGAUUCUUGAGCAAUUAUCUGAGGAAGAGAGGGAGUAAGCCUUGCAAAUAUCUGGAGAAAGGGAGUUCUAGGCAGAGAGAACAGACAAUGCAAAGGUCUGGGAAAAGAUGCAGUGAUGGAUAAUGUAAAAGAACUCUGAUAUGUAGAAACUCUGAAAUGUAUAUGGGCCGUGGGUCAUGACUACACAAAAACAACACUGCUAAGUUAAAAAUUCAGUUUAAAAUGUUUAAAAUGCUGUGAGAUUAAUUGCUGGCAUGACAACAUGAGGUGUUCUUCUGACUUGCUCCCCAGUGAAACUGGUCAAAACUGGUCAAAAUUAUUUUUAAAAACUGGUCAAAAUUACAAACAACAAACAAAAACAGAUUAUUAAAACCUUUGGAAAUGAUCCUAAUGCAAAUAGCAAAUGAAAAAAACAUCCACUCAGGAAAAUCUAAGUUAAAAAAAAGAAAAAUAACUAGGUAAGAAAGGCAAGUGUAUGGUAUUUGAAUCAGACCACUCCCUCUUUCUCCCCUCCCAAAUCAGGGAGGCAGAGAUUCCCCCCCCCCAACCCCCCACAUACACUCCCCAGCUCUGAGCUGGAGGGCUUUCUUCCUGGGACUAGCAGGAUCCUAGCAUUUCUCACCCUGCCCCCAACUGCCUGUUGCUCAGGCUAAUUCCUGAAUGAGUUCAGGAAGAGUAGGGAUCCCUUCUUGUGUCCAAUCCUGCUUGUAGUAGAGAGGCUCUACCUUGGGAGUAGCAUCCUAGAAGGGUUGGGACCCUGAUAACCCUUACCCAAGCUCCUGACAUGGUAGCUCCCUACCAGAAGAAACAAGUUAAGAGGACCUCAUUGUCCCUCCUCUCAGCUCCUGGGCCCUUACUCAGAGAGUUUGUCUUAGGGGAGAGGCAGGCCAUGAACCAAAUACCUCCUAAUUUUUUCUCAAAGUAACUGUCUUCAUUUACAACAGAGACUGGAAAAAUUUAAGCCUAAGGGUGUUCUCAGAAAUAUUAGAUAUGUAGUAAAAGGCAGUUGAUAUAGCCAAGACUAAGGCUGGCUAGUUUGCAGGAGUGAAAGGAAAAUAAGACAGCUAGGAGGAUCCCUCCUGGGUUUAGAACAAAUAUCAAACACUGACAUCUAAAACUAUUCCUUCAAAAGAGCCACAAUUUGAUUGGAUCUGUUUGUACAAGAACUAAUUCCUUAGGGCAUUAUUGAAAACAGUAGAGCAAUCAGCCCUGCAAUUAGUGUAGUUUAACAGCUUGGUGUGGUUUGAGAUUGAGUGACUAAGAACAUUCCCAAAACUGUGCCUCCUAGAGGAACAACAUCAGCAAUGUAACAAUGUGGGAGAAAAAUAGACGUCACUAAAAUAAUCCAACCUGUCAGUAAAAAAAUAAUGAAAUAACAAGCUCACUAUAGGGGACAAGGGGUAGCAGUACCCAGAAUUGCUACAAUAUAGUAUCCAAAAUAUCCAGUUUCCAAUGAAAAUUUAUGAGGCAUACAGAAAAAUAAGAAAACGUGAUUCAUACAUCAGGGAAAAAAGCAGAUCUAUAAACUACCUUUGAGAGCAACCAGAUGACAAAUUAAUUUAAAAUAAUGAUAUUUUAAUAAUAUUUUAAUAAAUGUUAAUAGAAUAUUUCAAAGUAGGUUUUAUAUACACAUCUACAGAACUAAAGUAAAGAAUGAUUAAAGAAACAAAGGAAGGUAUGAUGACACUGUCACAUCAAAUAGGAAAUGUCAACGAAGAGGAAUUAUAAAAAUGAACUAAAUGGAAAUUCUGAAGUUGAAAAGUACAAUAACUGGAAUAAAAUAUUGACUAGAGAAUCUCAACAGAUUUGAAUUAGCAUAAUAAAGAAUUAGUGAACUUUAAGAUAGACUGAUAGAGAUUUUACAAGCUGAAGAACAGGGAGAGAAAAGAGUAAAGAAAAAUGAACAGAGCCUCAGAGAUAUGGGACACCAUUAGAUACACCAGCAUACAAAUAAUGGGAGUAUCAGAAGGAAGGGAGAAUAAACAAAAAUAUCAAAGAAAUAAUGGCUGAAAACUUCUCAAAUAUAUUGAAAAAUAAUAACCUCCAUACUCAGGAAGCUCAACAAAAUCCCAAUAGGGUAAACUCAAAGAGAACUGCAGGCACAGCAUAGUAAAAAUGAUGAAAGACAAGAAAAUCUUGAAAGCAGCAAAAUAAAAGAAAUUAGUCAGUUAUAAGGAACCUCAGUAAAAUUAUGAGCUGACUUUUCAGCAGAAACAAUAGGGACCAGAAGGCAGUGGGUUAAAAUAUUUAAAGUAGUCAAAGAUUAAAAAAAAAAAAAGUUCAACCAAGAAUUCUAUACCCAGCAGUGCUUUCAACAAUGAAGGCAAAAGAAAGACUCCCAAAUAAACAAAACUGAGAGAAUUUGUUGCCAGCAAACUCACAAGAAAUACUAAAGGAAGUUCUUCAAGCUGAGAGCAAGUGACCCCAGACAGUAAUGUGAAUCUGCACACAGAACGCUGGUAAAGGGUUUCUUGGAGUAACGCACUAGAGCAAGGAAAGUGCAUGAGCCUGGAUAUCAUAUUGUGUCAGAGAGUAAGGAAGUACUCAAAGAAUGAUGGGUCAUGUUAAAAGAACACACAAGCAAACUUGGAACUUCUACUGGUUAAAUCUGGGAUAAUUUGAGCACCAAAAUAACAUUGAAUUAAACAAUAAACCACAAGACCAUACUGACUAAAUAACUAAAAGUUUAAAUUUAGUUAUUAAAUAACUAAACUGAUAGAUGAAGAAGGAGAUAGUUACACAGUUUUAAAGCAUCUUUCCACAGAACACUUAAUAAUUACAUAAGGGAAAAGAGAUGUUACUUAAUUCAAAUUGUCAAUUUGAAUAUUAAUAAUAGGGCACACAAAUUCUGAGACAGCAAGCAAUAUGAAGAGCUCAACAUCUUUUUGUGAUAUUCUAGAAAAAGAUUCUUUACCUAAUCAUAAUGUAAUCAUAAGGAAAUACCAAACAAAUCCAAACUGAAGCACAUUUUAUAGAAACCCAAAGUGAGGAGUAUUCUACAAAGUAAUUUUCAAAAGUGUCAAGGUUACUGUUGUGGACAGAACCUAACAUGACCCCCCCCCCCACACACACACACACACACAAAGAUACCUGUCCUUUGGUGUCCAUGCCUUUGUGUAAUGGCCUUCCCUUCAGUUUCAGCAAACUUGUCACUUGCUUUUAACCAAUACAACAUGGCAGAGGUGAUGGGAUGUCAUUCCAUAAUUAUCUAUGAUGUAUAUAAGACUCCAUCUUGUUAGCAGAGGUGCCAGAAACUCCCCCUUACUGUCCUUAAGGUAAACUGCCAUAAAAUAAAUGGUAAUGUUAGAGAAGCUAACAUGGCAGGGAACUGUGGAUAGCCUCUAGGAGCUAAAAGUGGCUUCCAGCAAGAGACCUGAAGCAGCUAACAACCUGAGGGAACUUGGAAGCAGAUAUAUACCCACGGUAGCCUCUGAUGAGACCACAGCAUUGGCUGACACAUACAAUUCAGCCUGGUAAAACCCUGAAGCAUAGAAUCUAGUUAAGCCAGGCCUGGACUCUUGAUUACAUUUUAAAUUAUAAACAUAUAUUGUUUUAAACUACUAAGUUUGUAGCAAUUGUUAUACAGUGUAGAAAACUAAUAUAGUUAUAAAAGUCAAUUAAAGACUAAGAAACUUUCAGAUUAAAGGAUACUAAUGUGUUAGACAAAUGUUUGAUUGUUUUUUUGUUUUUAUUUUUGUUUUUGGUUUUGUUUUUUUAGAUGUUAUUUUUCUAAGUAAUCUCUAUACCCAACAUAGGGCUCAAACUCACAAACCUGAGAUCAAGAGUUGCAUACUUCACUGACUGAACCAGCCAGGGGCCCCUGCAUUGCAUGAUUCUGAAUUGGAUUCUUUAGACAAUUCUUUGGAAAACUUUAAUGGGGUCUGAGAAUUAGUAUGCAGUAGCAGUAUGUCAAUGUUCCUGAUUUUGAUGGUUAUUUUGAAGUUAAGUAGGUGGAAAUGUGGUAGGAAAUAAACACUAAAAGUUCAAGGAUGAAAUAAAAAUUAGUUAAUAAGUGUUUUUUCUUCACUUUGCCUAGUAAGAUUGACUAUUUUUCUAUUUAAUUAAAGAAGAGAAGCAUUGCUUCUGUCUGCCUUUCUCCUAAUAGAUAAGGAAGGGGAUAAAAUAGAGGGAAUUAAUAUUUAGUGAUCAAUUACUCUGCGGCAGAACUAUAAUAUCCAAUUCACAUGAAUUACCUUAAUUUAAUCCUUAUAACACAUGCUAAAGUAAAUAUCAUUAUUCCUAUUUUAUAGGUCAGGUGGAUUAGAUUGUCAUUCCCAAUUCUGCUCUGCUUCCCUCUGCCA
Molecule: long non-coding RNA, 8563 nt
Organism: Acinonyx jubatus (cheetah)
Lineage: Eukaryota; Metazoa; Chordata; Mammalia; Carnivora; Felidae
Exons: 3
Source: RefSeq, a predicted model, not a curated record